AGCGGCGGACGGGUGAGUAAUGCGUAGGAAUCUACCCUUUUGUGGGGGAUAGCCCGGAGAAAUCCGGAUUAAUACCGCAUAAGCUCUUCGGAGGAAAGUGGGGGAUCUUCGGACCUCACGCUGAAGGAUGAGCCUACGUUGGAUUAGCUUGUUGGUGGGGUAAAGGCCUACCAAGGCGACGAUCCAUAGCUGGUCUGAGAGGAUGAUCAGCCACACCGGGACUGAGACACGGCCCGGACUCCUACGGGAGGCAGCAGUGGGGAAUAUUGGACAAUGGGCGCAAGCCUGAUCCAGCCAUGCCGCGUGUGUGAAGAAGGCUCUAGGGUUGUAAAGCACUUUAAGCAGGGAAGAAACGCUGUUGGUUAAUAACCAUCAGUACUGACGGUACCUGCAGAAUAAGCACCGGCUAACUCCGUGCCAGCAGCCGCGGUAAUACGGAGGGUGCAAGCGUUAAUCGGAUUUACUGGGCGUAAAGCGUGCGUAGGCGGCUACGUAAGUCAGUUGUGAAAGCCCCGGGCUUAACCUGGGAACUGCAAUUGAUACUGCGUGGCUAGAAUUCGGUAGAGGAAUGUGGAACUCCAGUGUAGCGGUGAAAUGCGUAGAUAUCUGGGAGACAUCAAUGGGCGAAGGCAUCUUCUGGGCCUGAUUGACGCUGAGUUACGAAAGCGUGGGAAGCAAACAGCAUUAGAUACCC
This 694-nucleotide ribosomal RNA is filed under the name uncultured bacterium. Its description in RNAcentral is "bacterial SSU rRNA". It matches the Rfam family "Bacterial small subunit ribosomal RNA", at positions 94 to 787 of the family's 1533-position model. The record is from RNAcentral.